AACAGAGGGUUCGCCCGCUAGAUUGAACGCUGGCGGGAUGCUUCUUGCCGUCCCAGCCGAACGGCAGCACGGACUUUGGUCUGGUGGCGAGUGGCGAACGGGUGAGUAAUGUAUCGGAACGUGCCUAGUAGCGGGGAUAACUACGCGAAAGCGGUAGCUAAUACCGGCAUACGCCCUUCGGGGAAAGCGGGGGACCUUCGGGCCUCGCACUAUUAGAGCGGCCGAUAUCGGAUUAGCUGCCAGGGUAACGGCUCACCAGCAGACGAUCUCGUAGCUGGUUUGAGAGGACGACCAGCCACACUGGGACUGAGACACGGCCCAGACUCCUACGGGAGGCAGCAGUGGGGGAAUUUUUGACAAUGGGGAAAACCCCGAUCCAGCCAUCCCGCGUGUGCGAUGAAGGCCUUCGGGUUGUAAAGCACUUUUGGCAGGAAAGAAACGGCACGGGAUAAUACCCUCGUGCAACUGACGGUACCUGCAGAAUAAGCACCGGCUAACUACGUGCCGCCAGCAGCCGGUGGUAAUACGUAGGGUGCAAGCGUUAAUCGGAAUUACUGGGCGUAAAGCGGCGCAGGUGCGGUUCGGAAAGAAAGAUGUGAAAUCCCAGAGCUUAACUUUGGAACUGCAUUUUUAACUACCGAGCUAGAGGUGUCAGAGGAGGUGGAAUUCGCGUAGCAGUGAAAUGCGUAGAUAUGCGGAGGAACACCGAUGGCGAAGGCAGCCUCCUGGGAUAACACUGACGCUCAUGCACGAAAGCGUGGGGAGCAAACAGGAUUAGGAUACCCUGGUAGUCCACGCCCUAAACGAUGUCAACUAGCUGUUGGGGCCUUCGGGCCCGGUAGCGCAGCUAACGCGUGAAGUUGACCGCCCGGGGAGUACGGUCGCAAGAUUAAAACUCAAAGGAAUUGACGGGAUCCGCACAAGUUGCGGAUGAUGGAUUAAUUCGACAACGCGAAAAACCUUACCUACCCUUGACAUGUCUGAAUCCCGAAGAGAUUUGGGAGUGCUCGCAAGAGAACCGGAACACAGGUGCUGUUGCUGUCGUCAGCUCGUGCCGUGAGAUGUUGGGUUAAGUCCCGCAACGAGCGCAACCCUGGUCAUUAGUUGCUACGAAAGGGCACUCUAAUGAGACUGCCGGUGACAAACCGAGGAAGGUGGGGGAUGACGUCAAGUCCUCAUGGCCCUUAUGGGUAGGGCUUCACACGUCAUACAAUGGUCGGGACAGAGGGUCACAACCCGCGAGGGGGAGCCAAUCCCAGAAACCCGAUCGUAGUCCGGAUCGCAGUCUGCAACUCGACUGCGUGAAGUCGGAAUCGCUAGUAAUCGCGGAUCAGCAUGUCGCGGUGAAUACGUUCCCGGGUCUUGUACACACCGCCCGUCACACCAUGGGAGUGGGGUUUUACCAGAAGUAGUUAGCCUAACCGUAAGGAGUGGCGAUUACCACGGUAGGAUUCAUGACUGGGGUGAAGUCGUAACAAGGUAG
Molecule: ribosomal RNA, 1483 nt
Filed under: uncultured Bordetella sp.
Lineage: Bacteria; Pseudomonadati; Pseudomonadota; Betaproteobacteria; Burkholderiales; Alcaligenaceae
Description: partial 16S-23S ribosomal RNA intergenic spacer
Rfam family: Bacterial small subunit ribosomal RNA
Source: RNAcentral